This 492-nucleotide ribosomal RNA is filed under the name uncultured bacterium. RNAcentral describes it as "partial 16S ribosomal RNA". It matches the Rfam family "Bacterial small subunit ribosomal RNA", at positions 29 to 507 of the family's 1533-position model. The record is from RNAcentral.
AGUGAACGCUGGCGGUAGGCCUAACACAUGCAAGUCGAACGGCAGCACAGUAAGAGCUUGCUCUUACGGGUGGCGAGUGGCGGACGGGUGAGGAAUACAUCGGAAUCUACUUUUUCGUGGGGGAUAACGUAGGGAAACUUACGCUAAUACCGCAUACGACCUACGGGUGAAAACAGGGGAUCUUCGGACCUUGCGCGAUUGAAUGAGCCGAUGUCGGAUUAGCUAGUUGGCGGGGUAAAGGCCCACCAAGGCGACGAUCCGUAGCUGGUCUGAGAGGAUGAUCAGCCACACUGGAACUGAGGCACGGUCCAGACUCCUACGGGAGGCAGCAGUGGGGAAUAUUGGACAAUGGGCGCAAGCCUGAUCCAGCCAUACCGCGUGGGUGAAGAAGGCCUUCGGGUUGUAAAGCCCUUUUGUUGGGAAAGAAAAGCAGCAGGUUAAUACCCCGCUGUUCUGACGGUACCCAAAGAAUAAGCACCGGCUAACUUCGUG